UGGCCCUCGGGGGAUUCACUGUUAUACUUGGAGGCCAUGUCACCUGAGAGUCAAUGGGCAACGAUCAAAUUUCACCUUGAGCAGAUUCUUUUGUUUGCUUUUUAGUCACAAAUAGCUUGGCCCUAAGUGGUGGCUCCCAUUCUUGUAAGAUGCGUUUAUUCAUCGUGUAAUCACCAGUUCCCUGUAGUGGGGGCGUGGAUGGAGUGUCAGAGGCUCCUGCUGGUCUUUAGGGUGUCUGGCCUCCAGGAAUCCUAGAGUAAAUUGGGAACUACAGCACUCGAUGUUAGAGUUGUCGUGAAGAUUAAAGAAGGUGACGACUGGACAACUCCCAGCCCAAUACCUGAAACUGUACCAGCACCCAGUGAGCACUGCUAUUCCUGUGACUGCUGCACAUUUGCCUUAUCUCAGCAGUAUGCCUGUGUCACUUUUUUGGCACUCUUUUCUCAUGGGUACAUUCAGAGAAGAGGAAUGUUUGUUCACUGGUGAAGAGAACAUCCCGUGUACUAUCGUGUAGAAGUUGUAGUAGACGCUGUGGUCUUUCCAACAACAAACAAACUGCUGGGACAGGACCCAGGAGGUUCCGGAGGAUCAGGAGGUCCACCUGGGAGAAGAGCUGAUCGGCUAGUAGGAGAGCUGGAAAAGCAACAGACACCUACUUAGUCCCUUCCCUGGGGCCCGGCUCCAGUCUGAGCUGUCACGCCACAGCAAAGGCAUCACUUCAGGACAGCAAAGCCCCUGUCUCCCUCCCUUCCAGCUCCUCAGACUUCACCCUGGUAACACGUUUGUUUAAAAAACAUAUUUUUCCCCCUUGUAAAGAAUCUAGGAUACAAGGGGUCAGCCCAGCAGUUUAGGUAUCAAGAAGAAACUGCUCUCGGAGCUAAAGUAAGAAACAGUGCCUGUCUAUAGCGCAAAUAAAGAGUUGGAACAAGAUAAAA
This 935-nucleotide long non-coding RNA is filed under the name Homo sapiens (human). RNAcentral describes it as "HSALNT0355765". Lineage: Eukaryota; Metazoa; Chordata; Mammalia; Primates; Hominidae. The record is from RNAcentral.